Molecule: long non-coding RNA, 38383 nt
Filed under: Ananas comosus (pineapple)
Lineage: Eukaryota; Viridiplantae; Streptophyta; Magnoliopsida; Poales; Bromeliaceae
Description: long non-coding RNA (ACOM_LNC018248)
Source: RNAcentral
UUUUUUUUUUUUUUUUUAAAGAAAGGUUUGGUUACAAAUUCAAUCAUCAUUUGGCUAUUGUUUCAUUUUUUUAUUUUUUUAUUUUUCUAUUUUAGUUACUUAUUUCUGUGUGUGGUAGAAGCCAAAUUGCUCAAAGCAUAAUAUUUUAUUUCUUGGCCUCAAAUUCUGGAUAUUUUGGUAGUCCUCUAUUUCCUCAUUCUCCCAGAAACAAUUGUAUAUGAUGACAAAUUUAAUGUCUCUAUCUAUUCACACGCAAGUUAGGAAACCUAGUUUUGAAUUCUUCCCUGGGCUAGUCCAAAAGGACUAUUUAAGAACAGCUACUAGAAUUUGUUCUCUAAUCACCAAAUAAUUUUGUUGGCUAGAAAAAAUAGCAAAUUGUUUUUGUUAGUACAGUCAAUUCUAGCUUUAAUUCGGUGUAAGUAUUGGGAUGAUAAUAAUAAUAAUGAUGUAAUCUUUUUGUAAUUUUGCAGAGGAAAGGUACUCGUUGAUGGCGAUGAAAUCUGAAACGCCUUCUCGCCAGGAACCAAUCAGCAAUGGUGUUCCCAAAGCUCUCAUGUCAAGAACAACAGAGCUUCCUCCCGUGACCAAAACGGUAACUGCUAGUUCCAGUAAGUAUCCAUCUAUCGAACGCCCAAUUUCUGGACCUAUCGAGAAAAAACCUAAGAUUGAGCAUAGCGAGUCAUAGAAAUGUAAAGUAUUAAAAAAAAAAAAAAGAGAAAAGGAGAGGAGAUUAUAGCAGUAUUCGAAGCACAUUGCUGAAUCUUUUUAUUUGCACUCUGACAAUGUGGAAAUGCUGUAGGUAAACUUCUUGUUGACUCGAUUAAUAAAUUCCAUCCAAUCGAGCCACUCAUUUUAAUUUUAACCUUACACCGAGUUGCUGUGAUUUGUACUUGUAGAUAAUUUGAACAUAUUUCUCCAAGUUUGAUUGUGCAAUUAGCAUAUAGUUCGCUGUAUCGUAGGCAGAAUAUAUUGGUGAUUUUCAUGUAGUUGGUUGAACAUUAGAGAGGUUGCCCUAAUGUAGGGGCAUGUUUAGGGUUCAUCUCUCUUUUCUUUAGCAAAUGCUAGCUUAAUCUUAUGUGGAAGGAUGGAAAUGUUCUCACCUUUUUUUUUUUUUUCAUUUUUGGACAAAGAAUUGUAGUGAAAAAUCUAUAGAGAAAAUCUACAAUUUAUUUAAAAAGGUUGCACCUUUGUAAUAAUUAGCUGCAUGAUUUUGCCAUGAGUAGUGGUAUUAAUAGGAGUGGUGCUACAUUCACAAUUUCGACUCACUGUUUGGUGAAUGUUGUUUAUUUUGGAGUAUAUGUCAUUUAUUUUGAAGUAUAUGUCAGUCACACCACAUCAUCUAUUAAUAGUCAAUCAUAUUUUUCCUUGUGAGUAGAAAGUAUAGUAAAAAUAUUUUUUUAUUAAGGGAAAAUUUCAAGUACCAUCUUGUGAUUUCGCACUUUCGUAUUUUAGUACCCUGUGGUUUAAAGUGUAUCGCUUUCGUGUCCUGUGGUUUUAUUUUUUUCUUUUUGUUAUUCCUUCCAUUAAUUUUUUUCGUUAAAUCAGUGAUAAAGAUAAAACUAAAGGGUAUUAAAGUGAAUAUUUGAUAAACUAUAGGUGGGGCAUGUGAAAUUUUUUGUAUAUGUUUUAACGAAAAGUUAACGGAGGGGUAACGAGAAGAAAAAAAAAAAAUCACGAAGUAGUAAAUUGAUAUAUUUUAAAUCAUAGGGUACUAAAGCGAGAAAGUGUGAAAUUAUAGAGGUGGUAUUUUGAAGUUUACCUUUUUAUUAACUAUGAUAGGAUGGAUGAGCUCCAAAGAAGCAAUUUGAUUGGUUGAGGUACACCACAGUGUGAGGCGUGUUUGGUUUGAAGUCGGAGUCGGAAUCGAAAUCGGAAUCAAAAUAAGGCAGAAUCGGAAUCGGAAUAUCUCAUUAUCUAAUUCUGUUUGAUUCAUCACCUGAAUCGGAAUCGGAAUAAAUCAUUCUCAUUGUCGGUGUUUGGUUCAGGUGGAUAUAAAAAACAUAAUCAAAUUAGUAUAUUAACAUUAUCUUUAUAAUAUAUUAAUUUAAAUUCAAAUUAAAUAUUAAAUAUUUAAAAACUACAUCAAAAUUUUGAAAUAAUGUCAAAAUUUUAAAUGUAUGUUUUUUUUAAAAAAAAUUAAACUUUGAAGUUGAGUGGAUAAUUCAAAAUAUGAAACUAAAUUUUGAUUUAUUCAAAUUCAAACUUAAAAUUACAAUUACAAUUUUAAUUUGAAUCCAUAAAUUUAAUUUAAGUUUGAAAUAAAAUUUGAAUAAAACUUUAUAUAAAUUAAAAUUUAAUUUAAAUUCAAAUUAUAAGUUAGAUUCGAAAUAUUUGAUUAAAUUUUAAUUUUUAAUUUAAGUUUAAAUUAAAAUUUAAAAUAAUAUAUUUAAUUUUUAAAUUUUAACUCAUAUUUUAAUUAAAAAAUUUGAAAAAAUAAAUUUAAUCCGAAUAAAUAUCCAUUCCGUCCGGAUUCAACUUUCAAUCCGGCCUCCUAGGCCGGAUUGAAAAAAAAGGUGAUUGGGAGAUUCCCAUUCCACUCGGGAAUUGGAAUCGGAAUGGAACUCUCGCGUACCAAACACCCACAAACGAAUUUACCCAUUUCGAUUCCGAUUUCAGGAUGAAAAAGAAGCGAACCAAACACGCCCUGUAUGCGGUCGCUGCAUUCUAGAUAAUUUCCAUCCAACGGUUAUUGGAGAUUUGGCGAGAGCAAAAGUAGUUUUUUUUUCUUAAUAGAGCAGGAAUUGUUUCCUUAUGGAGCUGGUAUAUUUGGUCGUACCUUUUUUUUUUUUUUCGUAGCGAUUGACCUCUUACUAUAAGACCCUAAUUGGAGCAGAUUAUCAUAUAUAAACCGGAGAAGCUAGAUGAUUGUGUUGGACUAUUGGUGUUAAUUAUUAAUUUUAAAAACUCGAGCUAUUAGAAAAAUAUAAUUAAUCAUUUAAAGCGUACAGACACAUCAUUUACAUGUCUUGAUUGUGAUUCAGCCCAAUUAACCUUACGGCACUUCGAACCUAACCUCGUCAGAUUUAGUCUCACGCCAUUUCGAAUGUGACUCGAUCCAAUCUGUUCUCCUUCCAUAUAAUAGGAGGAUGAACCUUUUUAAGCCAACAGAUAGACCUAUCAUAAGAUCAUUCAUGGAGCAGAUUAUUGUGUAUAAAUCGGAGAAGUCGGAGGCUUGAACUCAAGAUUGUUAAAUAAAAGGGUUUCAAACCUCGGACCUCAAGGAUGGACUUCAGAAUAGCAGUCAACUAACUAGUCGAGAAGUAGUGCUUGUAAGAAGGUCCAAAUAGUCUACCAUGUUUGCUUUGAACCAUCCAGUGAAAUGUUCUGCAUUUUAUAUAUGCUUUCAGUUCUACCACCAAAUAUAUUGCAGACUUUUCUUGAUUAAGUAAUUAAUUCCUUCAUAAAAUGAUUGGGUAGCUGGAUUGAAAGUAAGAGAUUUCCUCAUGAAGAAGAAGAGAAAAGAAGAGAACUCCAAAACAUGUUACUGCAGAAUGUUACUUAAGUGUUUGACAAUUAUAGGCAAUAAUCAAGUGUUUUGGGCCCAACAAGGUUGAUAUUUAAAUUGUAACGACCCGACCCGUUAGCAAGGAUAACUCGUCGAGUCCAAACCACCGGCCCAACAAAAAGUUCUUUUUCUUUUCCAUCCGAUGUGAGACUAUUGCGGCGUUACAUAAGCGAGAAAAAGGAUGCUUGAUUUUUUUCAGGCCCCAUGGAUACCUUAUCCUUUGAAUACAUAUUUUCCAACUUUGUUAUCAUUUCAUUAAGUUCAGCGAAUACAAGCUUCAUAUACUGAAUUAAAAUUCACAAAUACACCGAGAAAAAGAGUUCAUGUCUAUUUAUUUAUUUGCACAUUAUACAGCAAAAAACAAAUCUGGAACAGAGAAAAUGUACAACUCAAAUCAUUCCUGAUCUUGAUAAGAUACAAAUUCGUAGUUUCCCUCUCGACGAUGUAACAGUGUGCAGCUUUUCACUGUCCAAAGAUAUCGGAAAUCGACUUCUUGAUAUUUCUCACUAACUCUUCCCUGGAAAGAAUUAAAAGGUAAAAUGCAAUUACUGAAAUGGGUUGAAACAAUAGAAACCACAAGAUUACAGGUGCGAAAUUUAAAGUGCAACAAAGUACUAAAAUGUGGUGGAGAGGAAGGAUAUAUAAAUUUGCAGCAGCUCUGGAUCAUAUAGUUCUCAGAGUUGAAGAUUCAAAAGAAUUAUUGUUCCUUUGUGAAUAAAAUUUUUACCUCUGAUCCGAACAGAAAAAUAGUUCCACAUAAAAGGGAACCAAGGAAGCUCACUGAGAAUGUCCUCAUAAUAAAAUAGAAGUUUUGACUGAUUGAGGAGUGUGAAUUCUUUUUCUUUUUUCUUUUUUUUUUUCCUCAAGGAUCAAAUAAUCAACAUGGAAAACAACAGUUUAAAUUGUAAUGACCCGACUAACUAGCAAUAUGGGCCCAAACUAUCGGCCCAAAAUACUUACGUCCAGUUAUUAUUAAUAAGGUGCGUUACUAACCCUAACGUUCUCAUCAGAUCCAAAUAUGAUGACAGACAAUAUAGAUCAAAAUUAUUAGGCAACGUGAAAUUUUAGAGGUGAUUUUUGUGGGUUCAAGAGGUGGCUCCACAUAGCAUUAAGUUCUCACAUUUUCGACUAGUAUUUGAUCCUGGAUAUCAACUGUAACGACGACCCGACCCGCUAGCAAUUAGGUCCAAACUACCAGCCCAAAAUGCUUAAGUGCUAUAGACUCUUCUAUUUUAGACCCUGACGUCCUCAUCAGGUACAAAUAUUACACUUAGCUCUCACACUGCUAACAACAAUAAUUUGUUGGGCGCAAACCACCGGUCCAAAAUACUGAAGCCCAGUUAUUAUUAUAGGGUGCUUGACCUCUUAUAUUUCCAAUAAGAACCUCUUUUCCAUCCGAUAUGGGACUAUUGGGGUAUUAUAUAAAUAUAUAUAUAUAUUUUUUUUCUUCUGGAAGUAAGCAAUUUAACAUGGAAAAAAACACUUUAAACCAUUAUUUUUGGUUUAAGGAUCAAAUAGUUGUGUGUUUCUUACCUGUCAGGUUUAAAGAGGAGGUAUCGAUAUAUGAACCACUGCAAAAGAAAAGCAAGGGGUUAAGGCAAAUAAGGAGAAUCAAAACUUCUUUAUGUCCACUUACAUUCCAGCUUCUUUUUUUUUUCGCAAAGUGCUAUAGAAAAGGUUUCAGAGUUUUUACCCAAGAAAACAAUAUUCCAAUGAACUCAAGAGCACUUGGGACAACAGGAAGCUUGUCAAUAGCCUGCAACCAAUAUAAUCAAUUUCUCACUUGUAAAAUGUGAAGCAACUAAUCAAGAACUAGCUUGCCAAACUAUCUUUUUUUUUAUUGUGUUAUGGCUACAAAUGAUGCAAUUGAAGUCAACAGAGAUCCCUUUUCUUCUGUAUGAACGAAAAAUGAAUUACAAAAACAUUCUCGACAUCACAAAGAAAUAAAUUACCCCAAUAAGAUUUACAGAAGCCCAAAUUGCAACGAUGGCCGCGAAACCAAAACCAGCUAGAGCUAUACGAUCUUCAGAGCUGUUCCACUGUCUCAGAGAUACACAAAUAGAAAGUUUCCUUAGGUUUUUCUCUGUCAAAAUAACGACGGCCUUAAAUGAUAUGAUGGUUUAAAAAUUUAACGUGAAAACAUGUACGCACAAUAUUAAAAGAUCUAGAGAUCUAUGACACUUAGUAGUGGACUUUGCGUAGCAUCGAGUGUCUGAAUAGCUACUAUUUUUGUUGUAAACAGGCUAAUAUUUCAGGUCAAAAAUAGGAGUCAGUCGUUUAAUUUACUAUGAGGUCACGUAAUUCUACCCUCGACAUCUAUCAUAAUUUCCUCACAAAAUAGAUUUUAAGAAAACAAACACUGGUUAGCAACCAUUAUGUGUUACCAUUCUCCAUUUUGUUGUGCAAACUUUCCCAAAAAGAUAAUUAUCUUUCAGGUCUUCAGACUCUAAUGUUAAGCUUUUUACAUCCUUAAUAACAUUUGACAUUUGUUUUUUGCAUUUUGUAAUAUGUAACACAAAUAAACCAUGCACCCAAAAACUCACUGCAUUUUGAACGUAUUUGACGAUGCUUCCGGAUGAAGAAGAUUCAGAACUAUCUCCUGCAGCCUUCGCAAAUGCUAUCGAAUGCCUCUUUCUACCUGCAGCAAGAAAUCCAUGGUAAACUUAAAACUGUGGUAAAUAAAGUACUGAAUCUAAUAUCAAUUACAGCAUAACGAAGAGAUCUCAUCCUUGCUGCUAAAUGAGAGUGUUCAAAAGGGCUGUUAUUACAUACUUAUUGAAGUGAAGAAUUAAGUAAAUAUGUUACUUUUUAUACCAAAAUUUAGCAGAUGGGUCACCUGACGAGAUGCAUAUUUCAUUUUAGCACGACCUGAUUGUUACACGACAAAUAAGCAAUUGAUGUUAUCUUGGAAAGAACCUCUAAUGCGAACUUAUGAGCGAGAAAGACCAGCUAUUUAAGCUCGACUAGUUGAAUGUCUUAUUCUGAACUCACUAACUCAAGUGAAUAUGAUAAUCUUUACACCAAAAUUUAGCAUAUGAUCAACUAAUGAUCGUAUGAUCAUUGACGAAAAGUUUAUCUUGUAACAAUUAGUUCAUUGACAAAAUGAAGCAUGCAUCUUAUCAGAUGAUAUUUUGUCAGUGACCUAAUGGUAUAUGAUAAACAUGCAGCUGAAGUUACUUACCAUGGGAAAAUUUUUUAAUGGGCAUUAAUGAAAGAACCCAACCAAUCACUACAAAUCAAUAUCUCCCAUUAUUACCAUAUUCCAAGAUUCAUAUCUUCAAGAUAAAAAUCUUCGAAAUGCAUAUCAGUAAAAAGAUUCUUGAUUUUAAGAACAAGAUAAAUAUGUCGAUGCCUAAAGCAUUCUCAUCUUUACCUUCUUGAGUAAAAUACAAGUUGAUUCCUAUUACGAGAUACCAAAGUAGUCACUAAACUCAUUUUAUUGACAUAGUUCAAUAGUCUAAAGAAUAGAGAAUUAUUGAUACGAUUCACUUAUAAAGCUUAAAGAAUAAAAUUCUCAGGACUAGAUUGACAAAUACUAUAGAAAAUUGACCAAAUUGGUAGCUCCAUAAAACUCAUUUGAGAAAACAACAACAACAACAACAACAACAACAACAACAACAACAACAAAAUCUGGUAUGAAGAGAAAAGGAAAGAAGAAACAACAGAAAAUACGAUAAAAGAUGAAGGUUGAAUGCCUGAGGUUGCUUUACUUCUGAUACAUAUUUUCAUUAUGUUCUGUUUCCCCAAAACAGCAUAUGCAACUCUGAAAUUCAUUAAGUGAAAUUCACUUGUCCAUGCUAGAGGAAGUUUACGCUUGUAAAAGAGCAUUUAUUUCAGUGAAAUUCCUUAAGCUGCAAAAAGGUGAAACAUAUUCAUAAUUGAUAAAUGCUUCAUUAAGGCCUUGUUUGGUAUUGCUACCAACUUUUUUCCUUUUUUUUCUAAACAGAAUUUCUAUAUGAAAUAUUGUAGCAGAAGAGGAUGGCAAAUUGCUCGCAAUUCUUUCAUCUAAGGUGUUUACUUGGUAACAAGAAAGGAAAAAAAAAGANAAAAAAAAGAAAAAGAAAAAAGGAGAAAACAUAGAGAAUAUAGAUUGUAAUUUAAUAGCUCUGGGGAAUAAACUCAUCAUGUUUCUAGCCAAAUACCUAUUACUUUGGAUAAAUAAAACACCUGAUCAUAAGGGUGUCAAUAGAACAGACAUUUUUUCCCCGUCUAAUAAUAAACAUUUAGCAAUCUAGCCAGUAAUUUUUCUUUUUCUUUUUUUUUUUUUUUAUUUUUUUUUUUAAAAAAAUUAUUGUUCAUCAUUUUGCAGGGUGCAUUGCAAGCUAACCAAUCGUAAAAAUAUAUUUUAAAAGAUUCUUCUCCUAGUAUAUCAAAUCGUAUAUAGAAUUAGUAUUUGAAAAAAACAAAAAAGGGUACUGAUACCAUAUAACAAUGCGCAGUUUUUACCACAGAAAUACAACAUUAAAGAAUAGAAAAACUAACUUAUUCUAAAUUUUUUAGGUGCCAAAAAAUGAUCUCCUUCCCUUCUAAAAAAACAUUUGCAACAACAACCGAAAAAGUCCAAGCAAGGUUAUUGAAAGGAUAUUAAAUUGAACUUUUUUAUUAAUAGGCUUAAUUACAAAAAUAAUUUGGCAAAAAAUUUAUUUAUAAAAUUAGAUAUAUGCAAUGAAUGAACUACCGCUUUUUAAAUAUGGCAAAUUAUUCGCCGCUUCCUUUAACAUAUUAAAACUAUUUUUAAAGUUUACUACUAUACAUUUUUCAAAGUUCAGACGUGAAAAAUAUAUAAGUUACGUAAAAAUGGCGAAUGAUUUAUCGCUUUUAAGAAACAAUAAAUGAUUUAUUCACCGUUUAAGCCUAGUUUUAUAAAUAAAAAUUUUGAAUGCCUAUAUUUAUAAUUAAAAUUAAAAUGUUUCGUAGGUUCAGUAGCCUAAAAACUCCAAUUAAAUUAACACCAGAAAUUAAUAGCAACCAAACCUUCUACUUCCCCAACCCUUUCUCAAACUAAUAUACAAAAGCAAUCAUAGUUCUCACUUUUACAUGAAAAAAAAAAAAGAAAAAAAAAGAAAAAAAAAAGGAAUCAACUAAUCCAAUAAGAAUUAGCUUUGGUGUACAUUUAGAAGAUUAAAAUCACCUGCCACUGUGGGAGCUGGGAUCUUUGGAAGAUCCCCAAAGAGGGCUUUGUUUCCACACAGCAUAAGAGACUGGGGUGUAGCAAUGGAGAAGGCAAAAGCCAUGACCAUUAGCUGCAAAAAAAGAAAAAAAAAGAAAAAAAAAAAAGGAGAUUAAAAGUUGAAAAAAAAGAAAAAAAAAUUGUCCUGAUUGCAGACUGGACAAGGCAAACUAAGAGCUGAAUUCGACUGAAUAAAUUGAUGGUUAGGGUGUAGACUGACUGACCAGAGAAGAACUCCUUUGUGUGGGUGAGUCGACACCACUUCUUCGUGAUAGGAUAAUGCAGGUGUUUUUCGUUUUUAGAUAAUAUUAUUAUAAUGAACAGGACUGUUGUGAUCUCAAGAGCACGGAGAUCUCCGUUUUCCUGAGCCGUUUUUGAUGAUUGAGUUUUCGAAUCGACGAUCGGCUCCGUUAGACAUGAUCUAGCAUAUUUGAAGUUUUUAGAAAAUAAUUUUUACGAUUUUUUGAUAUUAUUUACCUAGUGAUCGAAAGGAUUCAAAAUCAAUAAUUUUUAAAGGUUGAUAUCUGUCGUUUUUAAGUUUAACGGUGUAGAAGUAUUCAAAUUAGAUGAAAUUUUGAUACAAAAUUCUUUAUACAAUCUACAACAAGAUCAAUAUUUCUGAUUGAAAAUUUUAGUGCUAUAUCACCACUUUUUAUAGAAUUUUUAUUUUCAGCCGUUAAAAAUUAUUAAUUUUGAAUUCUUUCGGUUGCUAGGUAAAUGAUAUCGAAAAAUUACAAAAAUUAAUUUCUAGAAAUUUCAAAUACGCUAGAUCAAGUCUAACUGAGCCGAUCGUCGAUUCGAAAAUUCCAUCAUCAAAAACGGCUCAGGAGCACGGAGGGCUCCGUGCUCCUAAGAGCACAACAGUCCUACUCUUAUUAUAAUAUUAUUAUUUGAGAGGGCGAAUUAUAACGGAUGAGAAAUUUGUAAGGAUCCGACUAUGGUGUAGCACUUAGCUCUCAGUCCCGUAAACUCUUAUACUAAUUAAUAAUAAUAAAUUAUUGAGUCUAAAUUACUGGAAAUAAUAUUUAAUGGGUCUACAAAAACUUUUGAAAUAUUCAAUUUGCCCUUAUUUUUUUGUGUGUAUAGUUCUCCGUUAUACAAAAAUAUCCCUACCACUAGUACUAGUUAAGUUAUCUCAAGUUAAAUCCGGAUUAAAUUUCUAUCUGGGUUCAAAGAAAAUUAAAAUAUUUUUCUUGCUCUUAAUUUAAGGGUAAAUAAGAAAAAUUGGUGAUGGUAGAAGACAAAAAAUCAGAGUAUUUCGUUUGGCUAUAUAUUAAGGGCAAAUAAGAAAAAUAGGUGACGGUAGAAAUGUAGAAUAAUAUAUUUGAAAGGAUAAAAUAAUAAUUUUACAGAGAUAACGGCAGUUCACUAACAGAAUUUAACUUUAUGGAUAUGGAUAUAUUUGAAUAAUUUGGAACGUUAAAAAGAUAUUUUUAAUAUUAGCCUUAUAAGAGGGGUAAUUUAGAAAGUCAAAAAUUUUUCAGAAGUAUAUUUAUAAUGAGUUGAGUUAGAAUACUUCUAAAAGCACCAAAGAGGUGGUGCUUUUGAGUUUUUAGCCUUUGGAUGAAGAAAUGUAGGGUUGGGAUGAUAGUGGUAGGCGGUGAUAGGUGGAAUAGUGUUUGAUCAAAGGGGUAUUAGUAAUCGGGGAGUAGAUUCAAGGGCUGAAAACUUAGAAACACCAAGGAGGUGGUGCUUCUAAAAAUAUUCUAGCUCAAUUCAUAAACAAUUGCCCCUACUAUUUAUAUAUCAAAUCACAAUUUUAUUUUCAUCUGAUUUGGAUCAUUGAGAUAUUGCAAAAUUAUUACCCGAACCAGGGUACAAGUAGGGGUGAAAGUGGUUAGCAUGAUUUCUGAUGAAAUUCAUCAUCAGAUACGAUCGGAUUUGAAAAUGGACGUUAGAAUUAUACAUCCCACCGAAUUCGAAUAUUAUAUUUACAAUAUUUUUGAAUUCAGAUUUGAAUACAAAUAUAUUAUAAUACUUUGAAUACAGAUUUGAAUAUCCAAAUAUACAUAUAUAGAGUUGAGCUAGAAUACUAUCGGUAGCAAACGGGCUCCGUUGCCACCCAUUUGUUUUCGAUGAUGAAAUCUCCAAAUCGACGAUCGGCACCGUUAAAUAUAAUCUAUACCACUUGAAGUAUCUAGAAAUCAAAUUUCAUGCUUUUUCGAUAUUGUUCUCUUGUCCAUUAAGUGGGCGUAAAAAUNNNNNNNNNNNNNNNNNNNNNNNNNNNNNNNNNNNNNNNNNNNNNNNNNNNNNNNNNNNNNNNNNNNNNNNNNNNNNNNNNNNNNNNNNNNNNNNNNNNNNNNNNNNNNNNNNNNNNNNNNNNNNNNNNNNNNNNNNNNNNNNNNNNNNNNNNNNNNNNNNNNNNNNNNNNNNNNNNNNNNNNNNNNNNNNNNNNNNNNNNNNNNNNNNNNNNNNNNNNNNNNNNNNNNNNNNNNNNNNNNNNNNNNNNNNNNNNNNNNNNNNNNNNNNNNNNNNNNNNNNNNNNNNNNNNNNNNNNNNNNNNNNNNNNNNNNNNNNNNNNNNNNNNNNNNNNNNNNNNNNNNNNNNNNNNNNNNNNNNNNNNNNNNNNNNNNNNNNNNNNNNNNNNNNNNNNNNNNNNNNNNNNNNNNNNNNNNNNNNNNNNNNNNNNNNNNNNNNNNNNNNNNNNNNNNNNNNNNNNNNNNNNNNNNNNNNNNNNNNNNNNNNNNNNNNNNNNNNNNNNNNNNNNNNNNNNNNNNNNNNNNNNNNNNNNNNNNNNNNNNNNNNNNNNNNNNNNNNNNNNNNNNNNNNNNNNNNNNNNNNNNNNNNNNNNNNNNNNNNNNNNNNNNNNNNNNNNNNNNNNNNNNNNNNNNNNNNNNNNNNNNNNNNNNNNNNNNNNNNNNNNNNNNNNNNNNNNNNNNNNNNNNNNNNNNNNNNNNNNNNNNNNNNNNNNNNNNNNNNNNNNNNNNNNNNNNNNNNNNNNNNNNNNNNNNNNNNNNNNNNNNNNNNNNNNNNNNNNNNNNNNNNNNNNNNNNNNNNNNNNNNNNNNNNNNNNNNNNNNNNNNNNNNNNNNNNNNNNNNNNNNNNNNNNNNNNNNNNNNNNNNNNNNNNNNNNNNNNNNNNNNNNNNNNNNNNNNNNNNNNNNNNNNNNNNNNNNNNNNNNNNNNNNNNNNNNNNNNNNNNNNNNNNNNNNNNNNNNNNNNNNNNNNNNNNNNNNNNNNNNNNNNNNNNNNNNNNNNNNNNNNNNNNNNNNNNNNNNNNNNNNNNNNNNNNNNNNNNNNNNNNNNNNNNNNNNNNNNNNNNNNNNNNAGAGAGAGAGAGAGAGAGAGAGAGAGAGAGAUAGGCUACUUACUAUAUCGGUAGCACGGAGGCCUCCGUACUACCAAGUUGUUUUUAAUGAUGCGGCUUCCAAAUCGAUGAUCGGCUCCGUUAGACUUGAUCUACACUAUCGAAAGUAUUUUGAAACUAAAUUUCAUAAUUUUUUAAUAUCAUUUACCUAACAAACGAGUAAUCUAAAAAUGAACGGCUGAAAAUAAAAAUCUCAUAAAAAAUGAUGAUAAAAUACUUGAAUUUAAGAUCAGAGGUACUGAUCUUAUUCUAAAUAGUGGAAAAAAUUUUCUAUAUAACUUUCAUCAGACUUGGAUUGUUUUAUACCGUUAAAUUCACAAACGAAUCACCUCUACCAUUAAAAUUAUCAAUUUUGAGACCUUUUGAUCAUUAGUCAAAUGAUACCAAAAAAUUAUGAAAUUUAGUUUCCAAAUACUUUCAAUAGUGUAGAUCAAGUCUAACGGAGCCGAUCGUCGAUUUGGAAGCCGCAUCACUGAAAACAAUUUAAUAGUACGGAGGCAUCCGUGCUAUCGAUAGUAUACCAGCCUAACUCUCUCUCUCUCUCUCUCUCUCUCUCUAUAUAUAUAUAUAUAUAUAUAUAUAUAUAGAGUUGAGCUGGUAAUACUUAUUGUAGCAAACGGCUCCGUUGCCACCCAUUUGUUUUCGAUUGAUGAGCUCCAAUGCGGACGAUCGAACAUCGUGGUUAGUAGCAUGAUCUAUUAUCACUGAGUAUCUAGAAAGUUCAAAUUUCAUACUUUCGAUAUUGUUUCUUAUCCAUCAGAUCUGGUGAGCACUUAAAGGAUGAACGGUUGAAAAUGAAUAUUCUUUAAUAAAAUGUAUGUAUAGGGUCUUAGUAGUCAAGAUUCAAGAGCAUAGAUCUUGUUAAAUAGUUUAAAAAAUUUUCUAACAAAAUAACUGAUUUGGGAUUCUUACGCCCGUUGUUAAACGAGAAAACGGCUCAUAUCGACCAUUAAAAUUACAAAUUUUGAAACCCUUUGAUCAUUAGCCAAAUGAUGUCAAAAAGAUUUGAAAUUUGAUUUCUAAACACUUAAUGUGGUAUAGAUCAUGUUCAACGAUACCGAUCGUCGAUUUGGAGGCUCUAUCAUUGAAAACAAAUGGGUGGCAACGGAGCCCGUUUGCUAUCGAUAGUACUCUAGCUCAACUAUAUAUAUAUAUAUAUAUAUAUAAGUUGUGCUGGUUUGCUAUCGGUAGUAAAGUGGAUUUUUACUAUUGAUUUUUUGUCCGUCCGAUUGAUUGGCGAAGCGCUCAGAUCAAAAGCGCGAGUAGUGCGGAGCCUAACGGAGUAAACAAAAACGGAGUUAAGUGAAAUUUCAAAACGCAAGGGGCGCAAACUUUCUUUUUUCCCCCCUUUAUCCCCAAACAGUACUACGUGAAAAAGGGUAAAGAAUUCUUCUAUUUCCUUCCCUAUCCCUAAAUAGUGCUCCGUCAAUAUGGGCAAAGAAAUAUGUUUUUUCCCUUUCUAUCGCAGCCAACCCUAUCUCCAAUCUCCUUCGAUCCAAUCCCAAGUCCCAACCCAACUCUCCUGAGGCGCUGUGCCGGAUCGUGGGAAGGGAGUUAGAGAGGGCCCUGCUCAAGCUAUGGGUCUAUUUUGGGGCAGUGUUGUGAGUUCUUGGUGAGGUACAUGAAGCUCCCUGUGGCGGUGUCGUUGGAGCUCGAUAGAAGGAAGUACUAUAUGCCGAUGGCGACGACGGAGGCAGUCCCUCGUGGCGAACACCAACAGUGAUUGCAAGGCCAUCGCCGAGUCGGGAUGAGAUGACGUUGGCGCCCGUCGUGUGCUUAAUCACAACUUGCAGAGUCAGAGCCGCGGAGCUCAAGGCCUUCAUGGAGAACCCCACAAGUUUCAAAAUGCUUACUGUGGUCUUCAAUAGGUAAUUAGUUAAUUAAUUAGUAAAAUUUCUCUCUUUUCUUUCCUUGAUUGCUAUGCUUGAUUUGAGCAAUCGAGAAACCCAUUUUCUCAUUUCUUAAUUAUUUAAUCUAAUGGUUGUUUAGUAGCAGGCAACGUCAUCGACUGUCGUUGCGGCUACAACUGCGGCUCCCAAUUUUGCCUCCGCCCCGUGACUGUGUCAAUAAUUUUGGAAAUCAGGGGGUUAUGAAUUGUUAGGGCGUGUGCAGAGUUGACGAUUUAGCAAGUGCUAAGAAGGUGUUGGAUGAAAUGCAUGUGAAAAAUGUGGUUUCUUAGAGUGCAAUGGUUUCCUGAUACAUUCUAAGGAGGAAAAAUAAUUUGUUGGUUUGCAUUAUAAUGACUAAAGAGUUUGCAAUAUAUGGCCGCAUUUUGAAGACAUUGCAGCCCUUGGGUAGCAAUUAUGCUGCUUCCAUGAGACAUAGUAAUUAUGGAAUUAUGAAGUGUAAUUAUUCUAUAGAUUAAAAUACUAUUCACAUAGCUUGUAUCUUGGAUAAUGUAUUGUACAAGAGAAGAACAUGAAAAAUAAGAAUAAUACAAUUUUUAAAUAGCAAAAUCAUGUAUGGUGUAUGUUUUGAGGGGUUAUUUAAGCAACUACCACUUGCACAAUUUAUUUCUACUAUUUUGUUAUAAUGUAUGAAUUGCAAAGUGCUUUUUAAUUCUUGCUGGAGUUGUAUAUGCACUAUAUCUAAUUUUAUAUUCUUCUUGAGUUGAAUAUAAUGUAGGAUUUAGAAAAAUUCUUCCGACGCUUAAACAAAUCUAGAUACUGGCAUUUGAAUUCAGACAAUUUAAGGUAUUAUAAAUGCUUUGCCAUAUACUUAAAUAGCUUUGAGAGCAGCUCGUUGAAUUUGCUGUCAUAAACCGCUCAAAAUUGUUCAAAAUUACUGCAAAAUUGUUAAAAACUGUUUCAAUUACCAUAAAUUGCCUACAGCUAUUGAAAAUUUGAUCAAAACCACAGGAAAAAGUUUAAAACUCUUUUCAAGUAUUAUAAACUACUUAAAAUUGUGGAACAUUACUUGUCAAAACUAGUAAUUCAUAUGCUUUAUAUCUUUCAAAUUGUUGAAUUUUUGUAGCUUGUUGGUUAUCUCAGCUUGUAACUUUCUGCAUGCUUACUGAUCAAAAUUGAAUAUUGCUUACUUAUUCAAAUAUUAGCUACUUGCUAAUAAUUUCAACCUGAAAAUAAAAAGCAGCUCUACAAAUUAAGCUUGAGAAGAACAUGUCAAACCUAAAGUAGGAAAAAAAAUAAAAACAAUAUGGUAUAUCAUUGAAUCAUUUUUUUUAUAUGUAUUGUUUUUCAAGACAGAAGUUUAAUACCAAAGCUAAAGAGCAUGAACUACAGAUCAACCCUUAUCCCUCAAAAUAUAACAAAACUUUUUAAGCCAAAAAAGAAAUAUCAGAAGGCAUAAUUUACGUGUGAAACUAUGCAUCAAAACCAUACAUAAAAAAAUAUGAACAAAAUACUUUACUCCCUGCUGCUUUCAUUAACAUAAUAUAUCAUUGAAUCAUUUUUUCAUAUGUGUUGUUCUUCAAGACAAAAGUGUAAUACCAAAGAUAUAAGAAGGCAUAGAAUUACACAUCGAUCCGCUUAUACCGUCCAAAACAUAUAACAAAACUUUAUAAACCAAAAAAGAAGAUCAGAAGGUGUAAUCUUAUAUGUGAAACUAUACACCAAAACCAUAAUAUACGCAAAAGUAUUAAAAAGAUAUCUGUAUUCGCCUGUUGCUUUCAUUAACAUACUUACAUCGAAAGCUGCAUCUCCGGAAUAACCUAUAUAAAUACAAAGAAAAAACUAUUUAGAUUCUCUAUUGGAUAUAAAAAGAAGACAAUAAAGUUUGAAUAAAAACUAAACAAAUUAGCAUACACCGUCUUUACACCAGUCGACAAUUAAUGACCUUUCUUUUGCAUUUCGCACAAUGUUCUCGGACUUUUAGCUCGCUUUUAUUCCGCAGAAGGCUUAAACCUUUGUGGGCUUUCCUCUUCUCCUUUACACUGUGACUGUGUGCGUCCUUCACAAUAACAUCAACAAGUCACUUGUUUGUGUAAUGUGGAGACUCAUUAAUGUUCAUUCAACUUCUUACGUUGUACUUCAUUAGAAGGCUUGAUUGUGCGAGACGAAUUUCAUCAACAACUUUUUUAAUUAAUUGACUCAACUCAAAGUGAUCCGAAUGAUUUCGGCAGCCUUGAAUGACAAUCUCUUGCACUUUUGACUAAGUUUGCAUUAGACCUUCAUAGCCUUUAGCAUGCACAGAGUCACCCAUUCCGCUCAUUUGUAUAGAUUGAAUGUUGAAAGAUCUCCUCUGUGCAUUUUUCGUACCCAUUCCUUUCAAAGAUUUAAUCAUAGGAAUCGCAAUCAUAUUCCAAUAUAAUGCAUAGCUUUAAUAUGUGUGAAGCAUAAAAGGCCCGUAAAUUUCGAACAUUCUUAGCAAUUGCAUGAGACGCUUUUCUGUAAUCGAUUCACCUAACAAGUAUAAGUCAUUUGUAGAUUGUGUAUUAUGCAGUUAAUUUAUAUAGUGCAUUCUUUUCUAGUUUCCAGCCAUGAACUGAUCCCUAGAUCAACUUCAAUUGUUCCUUGAAUCAAAGAAAUUUUCUUUUUGUAAUAAAUAUGCACGAGCUCGCAACUUCAAUGGGAUCAUAUGAAUAAAGGCUUCCGACGCUGCACCACUCUCACCGACUGUAAUCUUCUCUCUUCUCUUGUCCGUAUCGAGUUUGGCAAUCAUUUUUCAAUUUGAAGGACAAAUUUGAUAUUGACGGUAUGGUUGUCGUAGCAGACCAAAUUUAGUGACACGCAUUAACAAUGCUUUCAACUUACGUUGCGAAGUACAGCAUGCAGCGAAGAAUAGUAUUUCGAAAAUAAACAGGCACCAUUGAAUGCUAUCUGUUCCCACAGUUAAUUGCUAGGUUUAUUAUCAUACAAGUCGAAAACUUCUGAAGCAUACAAUCCAUUAUUUCGACAACUCUUCGAUAGUAAUACUACGCAUAAUCAGAGAAAAAAGCUCUUCUGACAACCUUCCUUGAUGCUAUACGGCUAACCUAGAUGUUCCUCUUGCUUUUCGCAUAACAAAGCUAUUCCACACACGAGUCCCUCAGUCUUGCGCAGAAAGAACUUGCUCAAUUGCCUUUUCAAUGCUGAUCCUUGUCGUAAUUAUACGCCUUGGGGUGUUGGCCAAACAUUGCAUCAAUGCCAUGUACAGAAAAGAGCCAACAAAAUGGUAUUAGCGGAUUCAUUUUCUUAAUAAGCGGCAACAGACUAACAAAAAUAGUUUGCCAUACGAUGAUGAUUAACACAAAUAAAGUGCAAAUCGGAUACCUAUACUUAUUAGUCAUAUAAGUGGUGUGCAAAAGGUAAACUACAAUCGGCACAAAAUUCUUGGUAUGCCAUUCUAGAUCUAACCUCCCAACCCAAAAUAAAUUACUGCAACAUGCACUUGCUGCAUCAAUACAAUUAGGCAUAAAAAGAUGGAUCUCCUGCGUUUGUAGCUGACGAAAAUGGUUAAUUGUCAAGGUACAUCAACACCAAGUAGUGAUCUAUUCUUCUGUUACCACAUUCGCUUAAAUCCUUUUUGUGAAACAGAUACAUUAUAUGCUCCUCCUCUCGUGGCUAGGCGAUGAAUAGACAUAAAUUUGAGAACUGGAAAUAUUUUGCUACACUUAACAACUGCGGAGCCAAGUCUUUUUGUUGCUUUGUCAUCGAGCGUUGGGAUCGCAGAAACGAGAUUUUGAAAGGACUAUUGAUCAAACAUGAUUAUGCUCCUUCCGAAACGAGUUACUUUCCACUUGCCAGUAUGACGUCAUUUAUAUCCGAAUAUGUGCUUUUAGCAUCCUGUUCGAGUGUAUUGGAUCUCUGUUGUGGUACAUCUUACCUCAAAUUUCAUGUCGUGUUUAUAAUGACAUCCUCUUAUAUCUAUAAAAUAAAUAAAUGUCAAUCUAACAUGCAAAAUGUGCCUCCAGUACAGUCGGUACAUAUUCCGGAAACGAAUCGUACGUCCUAAAACCUUUUUCUUGCAUAGAUAGAAAUUGCACAAUAAUGAGCUCUGGUCUAAUACCUAAAACCACAACCAAUUUUAAUAUCUAUAACAGGUCAGUAUUGGUCGCCACUAAAUUAAGUAAAUAGCUAAAUAUGUACAAGAAAGUGAUCUUUGCUCACUAUUUGCGAUCAGAUCCAACAACAGACUACACUAUAAACCUAAUUUACUAUCAUUUCAUACUACUAGGCUAGCGCUGAGACAGUUGUUCAUAAUACUGGAACGAGAGAUGUUGUCAUCCUUCACAAACCAGUACCAAUAGAGAAACCACAUAUACAUCUAGAGGUAACACCAUCUCGGCUUCUUCUCAAUUAGUGGAGAAUUCAUCUAGUUUGCCGAUGCACCUUAUCAUAUUCAAGUUGCACAAUUAAAAUUAUCUGUAUCUUUUGACACACCUUGAAGUUUAGCCUUGAUAUUUUGGCUAUUGUUUCAUAUGUUUGUCAUUCCAGCUUUCCUUAUCAUCGAAGAUCUAAUACGUAUUAUAAAAUCUAAUCAUCACAUGGUUCUAUAUUGCAAAUUUAAUAGGCCUUCAAUACCGAAAUGUGAGUAUUUAAUUUAGAGAGCACGAAGUGGCCAAUCAACAGCGAGAAUGAGUAAUGUAUAAUAUGAGCACAAUCUACAACAAUAAAAUACAACAAACUAUUUAUAGAUCUCAUAAACUGAGAGUAAAUAUGCGUACGCGCGUAAUACCUAUAAACAGUAAUAAAAGAAGUAUCUUUCCAUAUUUGUUAGUACAAAUCAAGGCAACACAGCAUAUACAUAUUAUUAUUCUCUCAUGCGAACAAAGAGUAAUAGCAAAUUAUAUUAGGUUAUAGAAAGCAGGAAUUAGUUAAUGGAGCGAAAGGAUGACCUGAAAAGAAUGAAACAAGGAUUUGAAAUGAAAUAGAAGGAAAGUACAAGAGAGAAAGAUGUCAAAAAAGUAUAAAAAGGUCAAUUACCUUACACACACUUCCAUAACUCUCGUUCCAUAAGACACUCUCUAUAACUAUUCCAGAUAUCCGACAACUAGUUGUGUCAAUGCCUAGAAACUAUAGGCGAAAAGAUCGAGACCACGCAGCUUGCAACGACUAACUCCAAUGUUUAUCACAUUCUAAGGCUGUGGUACCUACGAACAAUAUCCAGACGUACAACUCAGCUUAUAUGAAAGCGUUCUCUAAAUUACUACACUGGAGUGUGAAACGACUAGAGGCUCGUUCUGAUCUUUGGUCAAGCGAGGACGAGGUGCUGUAGAAGGUGGAUUAAAUGUGGAGACACCCGAAUCGGGACAAUAUCAGAAAGCACUUUUUUUAACAAGAAAUCAAACGUAACCGCUUUUCAACAGAUCACAACCACAUGAGAAUUCUAGGUGGGACAGUUAGCGCCCUAUGAUGGAAAAAAAAACAGUUUGACUGACUCCUAACUGCUGUUUCCGAUGAAGAUACUACAAUCUUUCUCGUCAUUUCAAUGAUUACUCGAAAUCCACAGAUUGAGUAAGAACCUAAUUAUAAUUAUUACUAUAUGCUCCGUACUACUGCGCUGCUUUUGAUCCGAGCAGCAUUCCCAACUAAUCGGCACGGACAAAAAAUGAUAGUAAAAAAUCCAUUUUACUACCGAUAGGCAAAACCAGCACACUCUAAUACCCCUAUAAUAUACGAGAGAGUUGAGUUAAAAUUUGGCACAAAUUGAUGUCAAUACCUUAUUUCAACAAGAACCAAUAACCAUAAAUAUAACAGGUUUACUACAAUUAGACCACUUACUCAGAGCCACUCAACACGUUUAGUAGAUAACUUUGAUCACAUUGACUACUUCAAUCUCACUACACAUUAACCAAAUUCCGAUUAUCUUAUAUGAAGAGUAUAAAUGCAAAAGUACUUAUCGAUAUCAGAUCACGACUACUCGCGAUAUGACACGAUUAAAAUAUUGUCAAUAUGUGAAUAUCAAAAAUAUUCUGAUGAUCACAUUACAAUUUUACAUAAUUUUUUGACAGAUAACAAUCUAUACAAACUACGAUGCGAAACCAAAACACUAAAGCACUACAAAUAUAAACCAUAAUUUUAUAUGUGCACGCUGCGUAUAGUAACAGAUAAUACUUGCUAGAUUAAUGGGUCAAACCAGUCACUUUUAUAUCAACCCGAAUAUUAUCUGGAUACAAAUUUAGUUAGAUAAGCAUAGAAUUAAUAAUUCUUAUUUUCACUAUACUAGAUACAAUGAUUGCAACCUUAACUGUCGAAUAUUAAAGUUGAAACGAUUAUCGAAUCACGAUAAACUACAGUUAACUAGAUCUCUUCAUCAACAUUUGGUCGUUCAUUUAUGCCCAGAAUUCGCUUAAUUCGAACAAUAUCUCGGAAAAAAUCAUUCAGAAAAUAAUUCAAGCAUUGCAAAUGUUCCUAAUUUCAAAGUAUAUGCAAUAUUACUACUAAAUUGAUUAAUCUAAGGUACAUUUUCGUCUGAGAUUUCGUUCACAAUGCGAACCUCGACAUCUAACAGUACGUAAAGAACCAAAUAAUAUAUUAUAAAAUAUUCAAUAAUAUACGCUAGUACCAGAUACUCAUCCCCGAAGAGGUGAGAUAAAUAAUGUAGCACACCUAAACAUUAUAGAUAUGUACAAUCCUUUACAUACAAGAUAUCAGCUAUAUAAAACGCAGAGAGAGAGGAGAGAAAAGACACAACAAUAGAAGAAGAGAGAGAGAGAGAACUAACUACAGAUUGUGCCUAGAAGCAAUAUAAGUAGUAGCAUACGAGAACGAUUUGAUGUAUCUGAGGUAGUACAAAAGAGAAUUUGACGAGAACCUAAGAGUAACAUUAUUAACACAUAAUACUCCUAAUUAUGUUCUAUUAUGUCACGCGAUAUUGUUAAGUCAUUGGUGCUUUAAAUAUACAGAAAUUUUUACCGUGCUCUAACCAACGUUGAAAAGUAGGCCUAUAAAGAAUCCGGGACGACAGUUAGAUGAUGUGGCAACCCUAGGGUUGAGUGGCGUGGUUGGUUGAAUAUAUAAUCUAGGGUGCAAAAUGAUCAAAGGCAUUAGAUCUAAUUCUAAUAUAUCUAUUAAUUAUAACAAGUGACCAGCACGAGUUGGCGCAAUGCUUGGUGCUACAUUUACAAGCCCAUAGCCGUAUAGGACUCUAUUAUAUUUAUUUAGGUACCAGGCACAGUUACAUUAUUUUUAUUACUCACUAAUUAUUCAAUUCAGAACAAAAGAGUAAAACUAAAUUAUACGUAUGGUCUUAUACCUAAUUAUAAGGUAGGUUGUGUUGGACCCCAUGCGACAACAGCUUAAUCCUUCUCCUUCGAUUAUUCUGCGAAACGUCACAGAACCCCUGCAACAGCGCAGUGUCCAACUCCUGGAUCUCGUUCUCUGUAAUCCUCAAUGCAACUUUGGCUAUUUCUGUCUUCCGCUCUUCUCUUAAGGCUCAAAGGAAUCCGGACCCCCUGACUCUCUCCUCCCCUCUCGUUUUGCUUAUUAGUCUACAAAAUGCGAUUAUUGCCUUUUUAUGUACCUGGAAAAUACCAUCGCUCUGUUAUUCUAAUAGGAGAGACCAUAAAAGCUAAGGCUACCACGCGACCUGUAAAACCAGCUUAUUCAUCGUACUAAAACUUAUUGAAUGAAGGAGACCACCAGAUCACACACUUAGACUAACCCGAGUUGUGCCCUAACAGUAUAACUUUGCACACAGCUACUUUUCUCCAUUCUUAUCGAAUGCACAAAGAGAUAUUAUACUGCAAUAUCAUAUAAUUAUUAUAAUAUUUGUUAUAUUGUUCGAGUUUAGAUUAGUAUUUAUCUUAACAUAUAGGUGAGUUCACAAUCUUACACUAGUAAUUAGGGAUGUAUAUAUAAUUUUUAGGAUUAGAUUUAAUUGCAUAAUAUGGAUUAUAAUGUAGGAGUAUAAACGAGUAUCACUAAGGUUAGAACGUAUUCAAACGUCCUAAUUAGCUUGAGACAAAUGAAUCAAACGAACAAGCAUUAAACUAGUCAGUUGCGCCCUAAUUAGUAUAAAAUUUGUUACGAGUACUUUAUUCUUACAAUAUACUAAAUUUCGCCUAACGGCUACAAUUUAAGAGUAGUAAGACACACCCUAAUUACACUUAUGCGUAGACCUAUGCCCCCGAGAGUGAAAUUAGAGACACAAUAAUUUGAUGUAAAGCAAGCCAAUAUGCAAACUUACAUCAGAACAUGAGUAGUAGCAAAACUCUGAAGGAAUUGCGAGAAGGCAUUCCAAGAUCGCAUCACUACACUAUUAAGAUAGGGCACGUCCUAAUUAAGUCAAGCCGUAGCAUCUCUUCGGGCCUGGUGGUCAUGGUGCUCUAAUAACCAUGUACUAAUUGAAAGUGUUGAUGUCGUAGCGUUAGAGUGAUAUUGACGGCCCGCAGUACUAAUGCAAGUGAAACCAUAAAGAAGAACUUUGAGAAAAUUUGACAUUAGUUCUAUGAUAUACUCUCAAACUAUCUAAUUCACGAGUCGAACUAGCGAGAGUAUAGAGUACACCGAAGACGGUGAUGAAGAGCCUACUGUUCCGUUAUUAUGGAGUGAUGCUAUGAUUGUUCUAUUAUAUGCGACACUGGCGUUGUCGAGAUAUCUAUAGUUAAUAGAAUUUUUGAGGACUGCUAAUUGCAGCGAAGAUCUACGUUCUCACUUCAUACAAUGCGUAACUAACCGGGCAAUUUUCAAGCAAUUUAAACCUACAUAUUUGAAGUGCUUGCGCCCUACCGUCUAGAGAGCUACCACUGUUUGCAACCAGUAGCGUUAUUCUCAUGUAGUGUACCGUCUGGACAGCAAAACCACGUAGAUAGAUCAAGGAGUCGUAAAUUCACUUAUCCUCUGCUUCAUACUUUUCUUUUCUCUAGUAAGCUACUAGUGUGUAUAACUCGAACAGUAUAUACUCAGGUCACCCUUCACACAGAAUUUUAACAACCGAAUAAACAUUAGACUAUCAGAUUUGCGCCUAAUAGUAAUAAACUAAGUUAUCUGUUAUAGCGAGUCAUGCUUCUUACUUCAUUCACUCCUUGAAGGAUAAAAGAGUAAAAUCGAUAACCGAAUUUCUGAUAAGCUUCAAAUAUUCUAUACAUGAGGACCACCACCAGGUCUAUGCAGCUCUAUUAUUUUGGCAGCAAAAUUCAUGAAUGAUUCAACCUGCUACAUACGAGAGGAAACCACAAAAACGAAGAGAACAUUUUAGACCGUACACUCAGUGUGCCCUAGACAGAAUAGGCACGUUAGUUUGGCAACGAGUAAGUGCUGCGAGUCAAUCGAACAAAGAGUAAAAGCUAAUUUAAAUAAUUGUUCAUAACACAUGAAACUCGCUCGAGAGUGUCACGUAUAAUUGGGAAACGACACAGGCAACGUCAAAGCGAGGAGAUUGAUGAUAACAGUCAUACGGCAAUACACAACUAUAAGAAUUCAUAAAACCCGAUGAGGGUAAUUACACGCGAGAGCUACUUUAGAUGACUAAUAUGACGCCACGCUACAGGCUUGCUUAAAUGUAGCUCGCUCCUCCAUAAUUAGGAUCAUAGCAUAUAGUAAGUCAGUACUUUCUUUCCAAUCCAUUCAAAUCGAGCAAGAUCAUAUAAAAGAUAAGAAACUGAACAAUAUUUAUAGCGUCUCCUAUAUCAAUUAUCGUCGCGAGAAUGUAAAAUUAUUGGCACAAAAUUGAGAUGUCAAACACGGUACCCUUCCCCAAGAAACCAAAAACCGGAAACAACUUAGACCACUCAGUUGCGGCCCCCCUAUACAGUAUAAUUGGCAACAGUACCUUUCCGUCUAAUCCAAAAUGUCGCAUUGGAAGAGAGUAAUACACAAACGAGAGUUAAAUAAUCUAUAUUAUAAUAUAUCUUCCGCUCGCUAUAGAAUUUAGUUGAAACGACGGAGAGAGGACGAAGGCCCGUUUAUUAUUAUUUCUCUAGCCACCCUCUUAUAAGGAAUUUCGUGAGACGUCUCUCUGUUUGGCCGAAUUGUUUAAACAAGUAGAUUAUGAAGCUCAAUUGGCUCGUAUCAACUCGUGUAGAGAAAAUACUACGUAGCUAUCCAAACCGUGUAUACAAAUAGAGAGAGAUAGCAUUAGCCUCAGAUAGAUGAAGUGUUGCGCAGCGCAUAAGAACAAAUCAAAUGGUAUGGAACUUCUGAGCAAGACAGCAGUAAGCGUCUUGCCUCGAUUUACGAAGUAGGCGGUCUACCAAAGAGUAAAAGGGCGAUAGAAGUUCCGGUCAUAGGCUAGAAUUGAUUAGCCACUCGAUGACUGAAUAUACAAUAUAGCAUGCAAUAGAAGUGUCACAAGAAGUUCUGUAGCAUAGUAUAGACGUUGAUUAAGAGCCAAGAAGAAGGGUCGAGCAAUAAAAGCUACAAUUGUAGUCAAGCUAGCAAACAAUAUAUAUGUGCUGCCUAAAGCAGCGUAAUGAAUAAAUAUUGGUGCACAUCCAGUACUAUUCUUCAUCAAUAUCUUAUACGAAACAUAGAGAAAGAGAUGCCAAAUUAUAGAACCACACUGUAAUGCUAACUUAUGGUACAGCCACGGAAGCAAGUGGUAUGCAAUUUUGGAACGAAAUCGACGUAGCAAACAUCCUUAGCACAAGAAUCUAAAGCAGUAAAAACUCAUAUCCAUUAAAAGUCUUAGUUUAACACAUGGCUAGCCCAUAAUCAAUACAAACGCUAUAGCAGACAGGAAUAUUGUUGAGCGAAGUACGUGUUCUUCGGAAUUCAAUCGAACAACACAAGAUGAAAAUCUUAUUAUUAUAUUCUAUAUCUGACACUACAUAAUGACCAAUCCGGGUACUCAGUGAGAGAUGCGAUAACUAAAAGUCUCGAUGUCAUCUAUUGAACUGUGUCGAAUGUACUAUCACGAAUGAAGGCAAACAAACAACUCCCUAGGAGAUGACACAACACUAUAUUACCUACUGCAAGUUGCGCCACCCUAUUCGGUGAGAGUACGAAUAUGUCAGUUCGAGAAUAAUGAGCAUGCAACGGUGUAAGCCGACCUAUUUCUUGUUUACGAAUUCGCAUCGCGACACCAAUAAGUAAACCGAGAUCUAAUUAUAAUAGAGAUAAUCCGUAAUUAGUCUCAAUCUCGGGCUACCGACUUUAAAUAUUAAAACUAAAUGGCUUGUCAACACCGGCUUUAAGUAUUCUUCAGUUCAGGAUAAAAGAGCCAAAACCAGAAGAAAGUCGACUACAAGGGAAUCUUGCUAGUGAAUGAGGCCAGACUCCAAUCCGACAUGUUAAUGUUCUACAGGGUUCCACUGUGACAGGUUCAGCAGCGGUGACUCUUCCUCUAUGUCAAUUCGUAUAGCACCCAGAUUAUGACCAUAUGCGACUGGGCCAUAUGAGUGAAUAUGGCAAUGAUAGUUGGGCGAGAGAGGUUUACUGGAUCAAGUUUAGAAAAGUUGGACUUACCUAAUUGAGACGAGUCACUAUUGAGUCUUUCGUCUGCAGCGCAAACAAAAGACUAGCAAGACUUUAAGAUUUUGGCCGAGGCCAGUCACGUUCACUUCGAAUCACUACAAUCACACAAUUCUGGACUAGUCCGAGAUCACAUAUGCAGUAACAUUAGCAAAAUAGAGGAUUCGGUUUUCUACUCGAGGUGACCCCCAACUCAUCCAGGAGUUAAUUUAGAAGGAAGAUUAUAUUCUGAUUAUCAAUUUGUGUACAGGUAAUAUCCGAAAAAUUUCCCGAGAAAAACAAUUUAGACUUAUCUCCUUCAGUUGUGCCCUGUAACAAAUUGUAAUAGACUCUGUUGAAUCAUUAUCUUGUACUCAAAAUGCUAAAGCAUAGGAUUACUAACAAAGAGUAAUAAUCUUUAUAUCUUAUAAGCAUAUGGAUUAUCGUAUCUAUUCCUCGAGAGUAGUAGAGAUAUAACUAAUUGCAGCACCGAGAAGAGAGUAAGGAACAAUCAAAACGCACUUUAUCAAACGAGACGAAUCAAAACCGGAGCAACACAUUAAACGAAGUUCGGAACUAUUGCGUCCCUAUCAGAGUUAUAAAUUGUUAUCGAGCUACUUUUUCCUACGAUUCAUAUUUACAGAAUUACUAGAGCAAGAAUAAACCUAAAUUGAAAGCUAGUAUCGCUAUUAUUGCGACACUACGAGAGUGUAAAAUUAGCACAAUUGACGUCAACCUGGUUAACGACAAGAACCAAACACCGAACAUCAUACUCCCAACACAUUAGAGACCACUUCCUUGGCAGCAACCGGAGUAGGCGACCAGUAGUAAAUCGGUGCCACACUGAAGUAAGUUAUACUCUAAAUUCAUGGAGAGGGGACACAAAGAGAGUAAACCUAUAUUAUUAUUUGCUCUCUAAUUGCUAGUGCCGACCUGAGGCGAAAGUAGAUUUGUGUACGUAGCGAGUGUCUACGUUCACACGAACUCAAAACCGCGAGGAAGAGCGAGACGAGUAUCUUAGACUUCAAGACGUGCACACCCGCUUAGCUAGCUAGAAUAACUCGCAAACCAUCUCUACUUUGUCUCAUUUUACUCGAACAAAGUAGUACAACAUUAAAGCACACAUGAUACAAAAAACUCCGAGGAGCGAGGUAUGUUCCCAUGGAUACGCCCUCUUGAAUCUGAUUGAGUUAAAUUGGAACAGUAAAUAGCGAACUGAGUUGAGUUCAAUUGUCCUGCAUCAUCACUUAAUGAAAUCAAAACCGGAAAUUACAAAGAACGAUCAUAAGUAGAUAAACGUUACGCUAAAAAGUGCAUGUUUAUGAUUCGCAAUCGGGGUCUAAGGAUAUAGAUUGUGUGUCCUGACAUACGUCUAAAUUAUUCAUAGUAGGAUCAGAUUGGCUCAUCAUUUUCGAUGAAUCUUAAAUCAUGAUGAUUUAUAUCCUAACCGUAAAUAUAGUAACUUACUUAUUUUUUUCAGAAUUGUACAUCGACGGAAGAGUAAAACCUAAUUAUACCUUAGAUGCUAGCUAGUCAUAGGUGUAUAUCCCGGUAGGAAGACACGCUGUAAAUUUGGCACAAAUUGAUGUCAGGCGACUGUUUAUCCAAGUUCAAAGCAAACAGACCUGGUCUUCUCACAUCAGAAAAUAAUGUUCAACUAUCUCGCAGUUUGCCUAAACAGGCAGAAUCACGCUCACGGCUUUAGCACUGGAAGUACCACUUUUCUUGCGUUACAAAGUUUGCAGAAGCAGACAUUGCUACAGGCACAAGAGCGAGAGAUAGAGACAAGAUCUAUCAUCAACCACAGAUGAUAUUCUAUGUUGAUGCCUACCGAUGAAGCUAUAAUGUUCGCGUUAUAGCUCAUCAGAUGACAUCGAGUGUCACCAGAUAGCGAGAUGAAAGAAAGAGCCAAAACGCGACAUAUAUAUCCAAAUCUAUUCGGGGCAGAUCAUUUCAUGAGCACUAGCUAGUGGAGGUGUUGCGCCUGUAAACGCGGUAUAGAUGAAUGAGGAGAGGAGUCUUCUCUCACCAGCCAAGAUGAAUCACUUUUUGCUCACCAUCGGAAAGUUGGUAAAUCGAACACCGACCAAUAAACAGAGGAGCAAAAAGAAAAAUUGUCACUGAGCGUAGAGUGGGUCAUCAUUAUGCCUCCGACAAGAGAAUAAGUGGUAACAUGGUAUAGGUAAGCGAAUCCGACGUGCGCCAAUGGUGCGACCUAGGGGAAACGAUAAACACAACGGUAGUAAAACAACCAUCAGAUCCUAUUUAGCAGUUGUGCUCUUCCCUAACAGUAUAGGCUCAGUGCAAAGUAGAACAGUUUUGCAGACCGAAUUUAUCUAAUUAUUAUCCUCAUCUCACUCGACACACAAGAGUAAACGAGCUAUUAUACCGUCGUAUAGAGCAUCAAACUUCUAUUUGUGUUUCUUCUUUAAUGCCCGUGCAGUAGAGUGUAAGAUCUGGAACGAAAUGGACUCAACCAUGAUGACCCUGUAUCUUAGCAGGGCUUGAUGUUUAAGACAGCUUUCUCAUGGAGAACUUGAGGAGCAUUUAAUAUGAAAAGCUACAAGAAUCAACAGGAUCAACAUAAACUAGUCCAGUUGACGCCCUAAAUAACAAUUGUUUACGAGUAUUUCUCCAUUCAAUCGAACAAAGAGUAAAAACAAUUAUAUUAAUUCUAUUAGUGUGCCCCGCGAAGUCGUAAUAUUUGCACUAAAUUUGAUGUCACUUCAUCACAAGAACCAAAACCGGAAGCCGGAGGGAUUCAUGUUGAAGACAGGAGGAACCAUUUUUGCCUGUUAAGAAAUCGCUUAUGGCUUACAAGCAGUUCCUCGGCAAUGGUAUAAACGGUUCGACUCCUUAUGACAGGUCACGGAUAUUCCAGAAGCAAGCGUGACAGUUGCGUGUAUUUUCAGAAAGCUUGAUAACGGGAUCAUUUCAUAUAUCUGUUGGUUUUUUUUUUUUGUUUUUUUAUUUUUUUUUUUUUUUUUUUUUUUUUUUUUUUUUUUUUUUUUUUUUGUUUUUUUUUCUUUAUGUCGAUGGAUAUGUUAAUAUGCUUCCAGCGACAUAUGUUUGACGAAACAAUUAAAAUUAAGACCCUUUACUGAAGGGUGAGUUUGAGAUGAAAGAUCUAGGUGCUUGCUAAGAAAAUCUUGGUAAUGAACAAAUUAAGAGGGAACAAUAAGUCCAGACUACUGCAUUUGAGCACCACAGAGAAAUAUAAAUAGAGAAGAUUUUAAAACGUAUUCGGGAUGACAAGACGCAAAAGCCGGUGAAGCACACCUUUUGCGGCGCCAUUUCAGACUUUCCGCCGAGUUAUCACCGCAAUCCGAUGAAUAGAGGGGGGGGGGGGGCGGGGNNNNNNNNNNNNNNNNNNNNNNNNNAUAUAUAUAUAUAUAUAUAUGUUGCGAAAUAAUAAUAAAAAAAAAAAGGUGGUGUAGCUUAAAUAGUGGAGAGCUCUCAUAUGGCCGGACAAGUACACUCCACACGCUGCACCUAAUUGGAUAAUCAAUCAUUUAAAUAGUAUGAUUUAUCCCUGUAGAUGUAAACUAUAAUGUCUAACUAGUAAACGAAAAAAAAAAAAUAUUUUAAAAAUCUAUUAUUUAGAUAUCAAGUGACUCAGAAAAAAAAGGACAAAAAAAAAAGCAUUAUUUGAUUUAUAAAUUUUUAUGGCCAGACAUUAAUUUUAGAAUUCUUAUUUUCAGACAUCCAAAUUUAGUGCUGCUGUAUUAGACGUAUAUUGUGCACAUAAUAUUUGAUAAUAAUAAUUUAUUAUAAAAUUUUAAUUUGGUAGAUACGAUUAAUAAUAUUGAGUACCAAUGUCUCUUCGCGCGUCAUCUAAUGGCCAAUUUUGAGCCAAAUAUUUUUCGCCCUAGACUAGCUGUGUAACAUUCUGGAUUAUGGCCAAUUUUGAGCCAAAUAUUUUUCGCCCUAGACUAGCUGUGUAACAUUUCGGAUUAUAGCGGAAACUUGCGUGGCUGUAACGAUCCAGUCCACUAGCAAUAAUAACUCGUUGGGUCUAACCGCUGGCCCAAAAUAUUUAAGCCCAUUCCUAUCCGAUGAGGGAUUAUUGGAUGUCAUUCCUAUCCGAUAUUCGGAUAUGGGAUUAUGGCCCUGACGUCCUCGUCAGGCCAAUCACAGAUGAUGUGGAUUAUUGCCCUGACGUCCUUGUCAGUCCAAGCACACACAACCCAAGAUGUCUCGCUAGCCUUGUCAUUCAGACCCUGAUAUAGUCGGUCACCUUGUCAUACAGUAACCUAUCACCUUGUCUUUCAGACCCUGACUCAGUCGAGACUCGCCACACAUUUUCGGCUGGUGUUGGCUCUGAUACCAAAUGUACGACCUAGCCCACUAGCAACAAUAACUCAUUGGGUCCAACCACCGGCCCAAAAUGCUUAAACCCAGUUAUUAUUACUAGUGUCUAAGUAUCUUAUAAACCCAAUAACAUUCACAUUUCUAUCCGAUGUGGAAUUUUUAGGCUGUGACAGUGGCAUGCAAAUAUAUAUAUAUAUAUAUAUAUAUAUAUAUAUAUAUAUAUAUAUAUAUAUAUAUAUAUAUAUAUAUAUAUAUAUAUAUAUAUUAUAUAUAUAAAGCAUAAAUUCGCCAAUCUCAAUCUACGGCCUAAAAAGAUUGUGAUCUGUGGAUUGAAGUCAGAAGAUAAGAAAUCAGUAGGACGGUACACAAUGCUCACCCGAGAGACUGUUGAGGGCAUGUUUUUAAUGCUUGAUGGGUGUACUACAGCGUAGAACACCAAAGCCCAAGUAGUUUUAAUUUAUUUGUACUCCCUGCUGUUUAUGGGGCCCUAAUUGCUAAAGAGCCCCAAAUAAGAGGCCCAAGUGAAAAUGCCCGUUUCACUUCGCCUCGAAUUCGAAUAAACGCGUUUCCGAAGGGCUCUUUUCGUGUCGAUUCGAUUUCAAACUAGGAGGUGUUGUUCUCUUUCAGGGCUCUACUUAAACCACCACAUGUCACCGUUCACAGUCGGAAUCUUCUCUAGCCUCCUCUCUCUCUGACUCUCUCUCUCUCUCUCUCGGGUCUCUCCUUUCCUUCCUAUUUGAGUCGUUAUAACCGCAUAAAAAAAUUAAAAAUUAAUAUUAAAGCACGCCAUCUCCCGGCGAAUCCGCUGAAUCCCAGCACACCUCUCCAUCUUAAAGAUUUCCCCCCUUUCGAAUCCCAAUCCCUCUCUCNAUAUAUAUAUAUAUAUAAAAUUUUAUUUAUAUAAAAUACUAAUUUUUAUUAUUUGAUUCAUAGUCUAACUUUAAUAUAAAGUCCAACUUAAUUAUAAAAAGUCUAUUCAUAUGUAAAGUGUCAACCAUUAGAUCAAAGUCUAAUCGGUAAGAUCUUAUAAAUUAAUGUUUUACAUAUAUUAUUUCUAAUCUUUUUAACUUGUUGCUCGUGAGAUAGCUCGUGUUCAGUUUGUUAAUAAUGAAUUGAAUACGAGCUGAAUUUUUUGGCUCGAUUUUUUAAUAAGCUAGCUCGCCUAGUCGCUUAUGCGGCUCGUUGACACCUAUGAAUGUAAAAUGGGUCGGGCCGCCUGGCCAGGCACAACCUCGGCUGGGCUACAGCGUGGUGCCGGCCCGGCCCAAGCUUCAGGCCGUCCUGGGCCUCUCCCCUUGGGCCUAAUGGCCGAGCACGGCACGGCACGGCACGACACGGCCCGAAACGGACACAGACAAUGCCGGGCCGAGCCAAAGGGAGGCUCGUGGCCUGGCAUGACACGGCCUACUUAGACUGGGCCAGCACGGCCCAAAACCUAUGGCCCAAGUCAACAUUCCUUGGGCCUUGGAAUCUGAGCUUCUGUAGCUAUCCUCCCAAGGUCUGCCGGACCUUGGGAGGAGACUUUUGGUCCAAUGGACUAAACAAACAAGUUUGGUCCAUUAGACCAAAAACUAUCUCAAUUUCUUUUUUAAAAAAAUAAUAAAAAUUUAUAUAUUUCUAAAAUAAUUAAAAAAUUGUUAUUUUAUGAUCAUUUUUGUAAAUUUAAAUUUUUUAAUCAAAAUAUUAAUUUAAAUAGAAAUAAUUUAUUAUUUAUAUUUUAAAUUGUUUAUAUUUUUUUUAAAAAAAUAAAAAGAUAAAAACUUUAAAGGGCUGACCUGGAGCACGGGUCAGCUCGGCACGGCUCUUGCCUUCCGGCCCCCUAGGGUCGUGCUUGGCCGAAGACUUAGUAGCUCUGCCUGGCACAGGCCGAUCCGAAUUUGGAACCAGGCCGACCCCUAGCCCGAUUCGGCCCGGCUAAUGUGGACCAUGCCGGGCUACACCCCCUAUCAACACCCCUACCUAAAAAUCAUUGUCAUAUUCAACAACUUUCGAAUGAGAAAUCCUACCUAAAAAGAGAAAAUUAAGGUAUUGUUUGGUUCGAGUAUGAGUAAGAACUGUCUAUUUCAGGAAUAGGUAUAAAUUCAGGUAUAAGCAAGAAUUAGAUCAAUUUUGCGUUUGGAUGAAAAUUAAGUUGUUAUCGGAAAUAAAAAAAAAUAGCGUUUUGAUAGAGAAGAUAAAAUAAGAAGGAUAAUGGGUACUUAUAAAUAAAAAAUAGUGAUAUUACCCUUUGAUUAUAUUUGAAUUUGAAUUUGAAUUUUUAAAUUUUCUAUUUAUAUUUUUAAAAUUUAAAUUUUAACUUUAAAAUUAAAAUAUUGAAUUAAAAUUUAAAUUUGAAAUCUCAAAUUUAAUUUAAAUUUUUAAAUUUUAAAUUUUUCAACUUUAAAUUAAGAUAAAAAUUAAAUUUGAAAAAUAUAAAGAUCAAAAUUUAAAUUUAAAAAAUUUAAAAUAUCAAAUUUAAAUUAAAAUGUAAAAUUUUGAAUUUAAAUUUGAGAUUUAAAUUUAAAAUUUAAUUUCAAAUUUUGAAAUUUAAAAUAAAUUUAAAAUUUUAAAAUAAGAAUAAGGUGGGACAAUUAUAAAAAUAAUUUAUUAUAAUAAAUUUAUAAAUUUGAUAAAAAUAAUUUUUUAAUAAAUUUAUAAAUUUUUUAUUAUUAAUAACUUUAUAAAUUUUUUUAAAAAUUAUACUUAAACUUAAAUUUAAUAAAAAUAAUUUAUUAUAAUAUAUAAAUAUAAUUUAUUAUAAUAUUUAGAUGUGGUACCCCUGGUGUUAUGCAGCCGUGAGAUUUCAGUAUCUGAGGCUCGUCGACACAUCUGAAGAGUGUCGGGACAAGUCCGAAUCGUUUUGGCGCAAAAUGGACGCAAAACGGACUCAGUGCGCGCGAGAGCAGAGUUUUGACAUUGAAAUCUGCAAAGUGCAGAUUUCUGUGCUACGUACCGGUACUACACAUGGGAGUACAGGUACCCCUGUAUAGAUUUUUUUGACUGUUGCUCUCGGGUUGCGAUUGUUGAUGCGGGUACCGGUACGGCAUCGGUCUGGUACCGGUACUCCAGGGUAGGUGAGGGGCCUUUUGGUCUUUUGAUGUAUCAUUCAAACCGAUGCCUCCNUAUUAAUAACUUUAUAAAUUUUUUUAAAAAUUAUACUUAAACUUAAAUUUAAUAAAAAUAAUUUAUUAUAAUAUAUAAAUAUAAUUUAUUAUAAUGGAGGAUCUAGUAUCCCUGGUGUACUGCAGCCUGUGUGAUUUCAACACCUGAGGCUUGUCGACACAUCUGAAGAGUGUCGGGACAAGUCCGAGUCGUUUCGGCGCAAAAUGGCCCAAAACGGACUCAGCGCGACGCGAGAGCAGAGUUUUGACAUUGAAAUCUGCAAAGUGCAGAUUUCUGUGCUACGUACCGGUACUACACAUGGGAGUACAGGUACCCCUGUAUAGAUUUUUUUGACUGUUGCUCUCGGGUUGCGAUUGUUGAUGCGGGUACCGGUACGGCAUCGGUCUGGUACCGGUACUCCAGGGUAGGUGAGGGGCCUUUUGGUCUUUUGAUGUAUCAUUCAAACCGAUGCCUCCUAAGCCUUCUUAUACAUGCAGAGAGCAUAGAGAAGGGGUUUUAGCUUGCUGUUCUCUCUCUCCCUCUGGUUUUUGAUCGCACUCGAGGAGGUGGUCGCUGUUGGAGCUCGGAUCAACGUCGACGUUGCGCCAGUGAGCCGUUCCAGCGUGCGUUCGUUGUAGUAGCGCCGUUGGAGGUCAGGCGAGUUCUUGCCGUCGUUGGAUUAGCUUUUGAGGUGGGUUGAAGUUAAAUUACUGGAAUUUUCGGAUUUCCUCCUAAGCCUCAGUUGACAGCAUGUAUUAUUGGAUUUUGUAUAUCAUGUUUAAUAACUCGAAUUCGUGAAUUUGUAUGUUCUUUGAAAUCUGAAUUUGGAGCCUAGUUAUUGGUUUAAACAAAUUGUACAUGUUGGACUUGAAUUUGACUUAGGAGAAAAUCAUAACUUCUACACUGUCAUUUUUCUAAAAAUUAUCAGAUUUAAUUUUAGGAGCUGUAGUUUGUUUGUAUCGUCGCAGUUUAUAGGCGGUGGAUAUCCAGAAUAGUGUAAAAUAAAUUUACGCUCGUGCUGGGAUGCCGAGUAUAUUUUUACAGUAGUGUAUAGACUGUUCCGGACUGUUGGGUACCGUUGUGGUUGACGGUGGACCCAGUUUGCUGUUUUUGCAUCAGAUUGUGCCGAGGGUAUGUUUAUUAUAAUUAUUAGACCAGUUAGACCCUUCUGCUUUGAUUAAAGCCUGUGAGAGCCUGAUUGAGCUUGGCAGAGAUACGCUUGCAUACUCGGUUGGGUAGCGCCCACGAGUGCCACUUCGAAGUCGGGCUUUGUGCUGUUGCGUUGUUGUCGUUGUGUCCUAUUUGGACUUGUUCUCCACUGACGACCCAGCGUGGUGAUAGUUAGUGUAGCUUCAGCAGGCGGGACGGAUGUGUUCAUAGUCCCUAGUGAGAUUAGGUCAGAAAUUGCAUAUUUUCUUCUACAGAUAGUUAGUGUUGGAUCGUGAUAGUAUAAUGGCAUAUAGCUAUAGAGAUUUCCAGCUUUCCUUACUAUCAUUGAGCAUACUUCUGUAGACUUAGUGGGUGAGCCGUUGAGGUCGUAGCGGUACCCACUGAGGACUACUUCUUUUUGCAGUAGUUCUCACACCCAGUUGUUGACCCCUUUUUGCAGAGCCUCCUUCUUCAGUUGCUGCUGUUGCUGAUUCUAAUCGUGGAAAGGGAGCCGCGAGCUACAUCGCUUCCAGUUUUGUUGCUGCUAGAGGAGUACCAGCUACAAGUAGUUUUGAAUUUUUGGGUCAUGUACAUACUGAUGUUAGUUCCUCGCUGGAGCGAGGGUUAUUAUAUCUGUAGAUUAUGUAUCUAUAAUGAACCCGAUGUUAUUUAUAUAUAUUUGUAGUUCUGUUAGCAGCUCUAUACUACUGGUUAUAGUUUUGUAUGAUUAUAUGUACAGGUACAGCUAUUGCUUCGUAUACAGGAGAAAUUCCUUUGUAUACGGCGAAUUUGUCGACGUGCCUGGAGAAACGAGUAAUCCGGGACGUGACAUUAAAUAUAAAUAAUAUGUAUUAAUAUAGUACAAUUAAUAAUUUUAUAAUAAAAAUAAUAUAUUAUAAUAUAUAAUAUAUUAUAUUUAUAUAAUUUAGUUUUAAUUUAAUUUAUAAUUUUAAUAAAGUUUAAAAUUAAAUAUUGGAAUAACAGUAUUCUACAAAAUGGUGGAAUAGUAAAUUCCAAGCUAUUCCGGAGUAGCCGAAAAUAGUAAGCUUUAACCGGAAUAAAAUAUUUCGGCAAAUAAUCAUUCUAUUUGGUAGAAUAGUGGAGAGUAAUUUUUGUUAUCCUCGCUUAUACUCCAAACCAACCAAGGGAACCUAAAACAGUACACUUGUGAUACAACAACACAAAGUAAUCAUGCAAAAAUUGUUUCUGAACCCAACCAAAAGUGAUUUUGUUUUACCUUCAUGGGAAUGUGAGAGAUCAGAUAGAUAGAGAGAGAGAGAUCACGAGACCCACUUACACUAUCUCUUCUUGUCACCUUCCCUCUGUCCCCAUCUCCCCUUCCCCCAUCUUCUUUUUCCCUGCUUCUCUCUCACAGAAUACAUUCCCACACCAUCACUCUCUCUCACCAUCACCAUCACCAUCACCAUCAUCAUCUUCUUCUUCUUCUUGUAUAUAUUACAAACCAAGAACAGACCACAUUAAUGGAGGAGGUGGAGAAAGAAAAGGAGAAGAGCAAUAUUCCAUCAAGUAGUGGCCCAAUUGCCAAAAUGCCACUCCCAAAAUCCCCAUCCCUGCAACACCCAGAUGCCCAAACUGGUGCAGAUCAGCGCUUCAACAAUGCCCUCAGAGUUCAGUUCCAGCUCAUCAUCAUCAACUUCCAACCUCUCUCAUCUUAAUUAGUUCUUUCCUUUCUCUAUCUUCUUCUUCAUCUCAUUCGCUGCAUGUUGGAUUCAAAUUAUGUUGCAAACAUAAGAACUCGGAAUGCAUGCCUGCAGGAAUUGAAGGACUUGCGCUCACAACUCCACACGGCUGCAGACUACUGCGAGGAUGCAUUUCUAAAGGCUGAGCGGAAAAAGAUGUGAGCCCAACUCUUUACUUCUGAUUGUAAAUAGCUCAUAUAUGAAUAAGGGGUUAAUUUCAUACAGCUCCCUGUAAACAUAUCGAAUAAUAAAUAUAUUCCUACAAAAUUUAACUUUUCAUAUUUAUUCAUGCAAAAGUCCAAUGACAUUCGUAUUUAUUCUUUUGGUUUGUUACUGUUAGAGCAUUGUUUAUUUUUUAACAGAAGAUAAGUAAAAAUAAUGAUAUUUUUGCCAUCACAAAUAUAUUCUUUCAAAAAUCCCUACUGUUAGAAUUAUGCAAAAACGUUCUUUCAAAAAUCUUCAAUGGUCAUCAUCUUUCUUUCUACCAUCACAAAUACUAUAAGAGCAAUAAAAAGUUCAAUUUACCUCAUUCACUAAUCAGUGUUUAGAAUUUUACACCUUGAUUAACUACACUUUUUUAACGGAUCCUUACAGCAGGGACAUAUUUAAAAACUGUAGGUCUUUUGUAGAGAUAAAUAUGAAAAAUUAAAAGUUCAAAACUUUGUACGGAUAUAUCUGCUAUUCAAUAUGUUUACAGGGAGUUAUGUGCAAUUAACCCUAUGAAUAAUCUGGUAUCUACUAAUCUUUAGUGUUAGUGACAAAGGGUUUGAUGGUCGGCACCUGAAGUUCUACAUUCGAAAACUAGUUACUUUAUAUUUCCAGCUAAGAUCAUUUCAAAUAAAAAAGACAAUGGAAUAAUCUCACAUCUCAUAAUUAAUAAGAGAGUAGCAAGUUGAUAUACACUAGUGGGCCUAGAAUAGGGUUAACCUUUUAGAUUGAAUGGAUUCAUUAGAUAUGUCACAACUUAAUUUGGGCUUAUAUGGGCUUGGGAUGGGCCGAGAACCCCCUAUUAAAUUGUUGUCUAAGUCGUGUGCGGCGAUCGAGUUAAUGGCUUUCAAACAUAACUUGACAUAUAUGGUUUCUACGCAAGUGAUCGUCUAAGUGGUGUGAUGCGAUUGACUUAAGGGUGCGUUUGGUUCGCGCUAUCUUUUAAAGAUUCUUAGUAAUCCAAUGGGAAUAAAAAAAUAUGACGACAUUUGGCUAAACGCACUAAGAGCUAAUAUGGCAUUUUCUUGCUCCGCGAAGAAUCUUGGAGAGCACGAAGAGCUAUGUAUGUGACGCGAUUGUAGCGGUGAUCGAUCAUCUAGGGACUGUCUCAUCAAAGCUCGAUGAUCGACUGUGUGACAACACUGAAAUUGUGCAGACCGAACAUAAGAUCGACUCUCUGAAACAGGUCAGUUAAAAAGUUUCUGUCAUUACAGUAAUAUCAUUUGAUCUAUGUAAUGUUAAUGUAUUACCAAACUAUCACUUAAGAACAAGCGACACUUAUAGAGAAUAUUUUUUUACGAACUCAAUGUCCGCAUUAUGUACAUCUUUAAAAUUUUACAGAACCUUUGAACGAUUUAGAAUGAAUGCUACAGAGAUUUGAUCUUGUGCUAAUUCUUUUGUAUACCCACAUAUCAGAGGCUUUCGAUAUGCCAACAAAAUGCUGUUGCUGUAGAACUAUCGACUCUCCAAUGGACCGCCAAGUUACCGCAACAUCACAGGCGUUAUGUCUCGCAGUGUAAACCUCUCCCCUUGAGUAAUGUAAACAUAUAAAUUCUUCAAGAAUCUGUUACCGUAGUUGAAUAUUCGUUGAACUUCGUAUCCGCUGAAUCUUUUUUUUUUUUUUUUUUUUCAAUGAGCAGCAGCUCAGAGAACUGAAAGACAAAACAGCUACUCCAGGUUUGAAUUUGUUGCCUUUCAAACCUUUUUUAAAAGUUUUUUUUUUUCUACUUUCUAUGUUUCAGUCCAAAUUUAUCUUCAUUGGCAGGAAUGAGGAUUUAAUACCUCUCAAGAACCCAUACAAGAAGGAUGACCGAUUAAAGCUAGCAGAUAAUCAGCUGGCAUCUGCCGCUGUUGCCUUUGCCAAACCCCGUAUUCCUCGAUCAAGUUCUGGUAUGGAAACUAGGAAGAUAAUAUCUGUGGCCAAAUCAUCGAAUAGUUCUUCCUUUAGAACUUGUUUAGAUGCAUGCAUAUCUGCAUAUUCUGUUCGGCAUAUCCUUCUACUUUAGUUAAGUAGCAUAUAAUAUUUGGUAGAUGAGAACUAUGAUCAAAUGUCUAGAAUAAAUAUUAUAUUCCGCAUUCAAGUUAUAUUUUUUUAGAAUAAAAUAAGUCAUCUCAUAUGUAAAAUAUGUUAUUUACUAAAUCAUAAAUACUAAGAUUUCUCAAAGAGCAAAUAUCAAUUAUACUAGAAAAUGUUUGUAGUGAAUAAGUUAUUAUUGGAUAUCCUAUUGUGACAUCUAAGAAGGCCUUAGAGUUAGCACGAAAUGCUGAGCUUUUGUGAGAAGAAAUGGUGGUCUCAAUGUUAGAGAGUAGCCUUUAGUAAUUUGUAUUUAACAUUCCAACUCAUAUCUGAACUCAAGACUUUUUACAGGCAUAAGAUGUCGAGGAUUCUUUUCCUAAUAAAAACUUAACUCGAUGAAACUUAAUACUUCAAUGGUGAAUCACAAUAAAAUUUAAGUACAUGUAGGAAUUUUUUUUUUUUUUUUAUUUUUUUUUUANAGAGAUAGGUAGCACGCUACCCGCUUCGUUUAUUUCAUUUAGAAAUAAACUUAGCUGGAAAUGUGAGUCAACUAGGAUUCGAACUUGGAUCUCGGGUACCAACCACCAAGCCCUUUGCCAUUUGCUAUAGGGACAGUCGGUACAUGUAGGAAUUAUUGACUAGGAAAUUGGUUGGAAUAUAUUGAUUGUA